Molecule: small RNA, 4075 nt
Filed under: Arabidopsis thaliana (thale cress)
Lineage: Eukaryota; Viridiplantae; Streptophyta; Magnoliopsida; Brassicales; Brassicaceae
Description: ATSL168620
Rfam family: MIR854 microRNA precursor family (bases 3436-3656)
Source: RNAcentral
UAGCAUAUGGUGGUCACUUCGCGACGUUCAAGACAGUGUCCAAGAUUCUUCAAGCAGGCUUUUGGUGGCCAACAAUGUUUAAGGACGCUCAGAAGUUUGUUUCAAAGUGUGAUUCAUGCCAGAGAAAAGGUAACAUCAGCAGAAGAAAUGAGAUGCCUCAGAAUCCAAUCUUGGAAGUUGAGAUCUUUGAUGUAUGGGGGAUUGAUUUUAUGGGUCCAUUCCCAUCUUCAUACGGUAAUAAAUAUAUACUGGUCGUCGUAGACUACGUAUCAAAGUGGGUCGAAGCUAUUGCUAGUCCUACCAACGAUGCAAAAGUUGUGCUGAAGUUGUUCAAGACCAUAAUCUUCCCAAGAUUUGGAGUUCCCAGGGUAGUAAUCAAUGAUGGCGGGAACCAUUUCAUCAACAAGGUUUUUGAGAACCUCUUGAAGAAGCAUGGAGUAAAGCACAAGGUCGCCACUCCCUAUCAUCCACAGACAAGCGGGCAGGUUGAGAUCUCCAAUAGGGAGAUAAAAACAAUUAUGGAAAAGACUGUUGGGAUUACAAGGAAAGACUGGUCUGCAAUGCUAGAUGAUGCAUUAUGGGCUUACAGGACAGCCUUCAAGACCCCCAUUGGUACAACUCCUUUCAAUCUUCUCUAUGGAAAUCAUGUCAUCUACCUGUUGAGCUCGAGUACAAAGCAAUAUGGGCGGUAAAACUUCUGACCUUUGACAUAAAAACUGCCGAGAGAAGCGAUUGAUCCAACUCAGUGACCUCGAUGAGAUCCGUCUAGAAGCUUAUGAGAGUUCUUAAAUCUACAAGGAGAGAACCAAGCUUUUCCAUGACAAGAAGAUCAUCACUAAGGAUUUCCAGGUUGGUGAUCAGGUGCUGCUAUUCAACUCUCGCUUGAAACUCUUUCCAGGAAAAUUUAAAUCCAGAUGGUCUGGCCCCUUCUGUAUCACUGAGGUCCGUCCUAAUGGAGCAGUCACUCUAGCUGGUAAGAGUCGAGAUUUUACAGUAAAUGGUCAAAGGCUCAAGAAAUACUUAGCAGACCAAAUCCUUCGAGAGGUGACAUCGGUUCAUCUCCAAGAACUUCUUGAUGAUUAAAGGAGUAAAGGAGUCAAGCUAACGACUUUAAACAAGCUCACUUGGGAGGAAGUCCCAUGACUAUCUCUGUAAAUAAAUUUUUUAUUUUCUUGUUAUUUUUUAUUUGUCUCAGUUGUGUUUGUAGUUCUCAGGAACGAAGGAACAGUGUGGAGAUAGAGUAAAAACUCAAAACUUUUACUCUACAGAAGACCUGGAGAUCGAUUGUAUAGCCCGUUGGAGUACAAAAUUUUGAAAAUCAUCUAUUGCACCUGGAGACCAAAAACUUUUAAAUCAUCAUUUUACUCGACCAACAGAAGCUACAGAGUCUUACAGGGAGUUUAUCAAGUUUACAGUAGAUUUCCUGCAGUUUUCCCAGUCAACAGAGUGUAAACCACGCGCUAAGGAUAAGAUGGAGAGAGAAUCUCAAACUCAAUCUCAGCCAUUCCUUUCACUCGACCUUACUCUCUCCUGUUUUCAACCACUCGACCAAAACAACCAACUCGACCUUACUCUCUCCUGUUUUCCACCACUCGACCUAAACAACCAACUCGACCUCAUAAGCCCUAGCCGUACUCGACCUCUGCCGCAUCCACACAGUUCAACGAUUCACUCGACCCGCAGAACCACUCGACCUCCGAGGACCACUCGACCUAGGCGCCGCCGUCACCAGUUCAUUUCCUCCUUCACUCGACCGGACCUCUACACUCGACUCCGUUGGGAUACUCGACCAAUUCAUCACAUCAACCGCCGUCUCUUCCAAAAGAAGCUACUCGACCUCGUUACUCAGUCUCGUAGCCGCACUCGACCGACGCCGCCUCAGCCGAUUUCAACAACGCACUCUACCGACGCCGCCUCAGCCGAUUUCAACAACUCACUCGACCUUUCCAGUGCCGCCGCUAUCGAGUACUCCUCCUCGUUCACCGUCGAAUUCUCAGGGUUCAAGAUUUCACUCGACCUCGAGUUUUAACUCGACCUCUGUAACUGCAACUCAACUUCUUGAAAUCAACAGAGCCCUGAAGCACUGUAAUAGAGAUUACUCGACCUCAAGACUUCACCGGCUGAACUCGACAUCCACAAUUCACUCGACCUCCAGGAACAGCUCAGGAGAAUCAUGAGCAAUUACAGUGGCAUUUCUUCUGUUGAUCCUGACUACAACAUGGAUGAGACAGAGUCGUCAUCUUCAAGGCUAGAGAGAGAACAGAGAAUAUGAAAGCUUCAGAAGGAAAGCUGAGAUAGCCGGAGGGAAGAGAGCGAUGAUAGAGAGGUAUGAGCUUAUAGACGAAGAUCUGGAAGACGAGUACAUGCCUGAACAGACUCGCAGAGCUACCAAACUUCUACACAAGCCCGACGUAUUGCCUGCUAAGGAAUAUGUUAGGCUUUUCAAGCUGAAUGAGUUUUGUAGCACGAGGUAUCCUUGCUCGACCUCACUUGCACAACUCGGAUUGUUGGAAGAUGUUCAGCACCUGUACCAGAUUUGUCAUCUGGACACUCUGAUGGCUUAUCCGUAUGUAGCGUAUGAAGAUGAGACAAUACAAUUCCUCUCCACGCUGCAAGUAGAGCUCUACCAAGGUAUGACCUCUGAUGAGUUGGAUUGUGAAGGAUUGGGAUUCUUGCGAUUCUCUGUGUAUGGUCAUGAGUAUAGGUUAUCAAUCAAGCGCUUGGAAGGAUUGUUUGGCUUCCCCAGUGGAACGGGAUCUAAGCCCAAGUAUGACAGAGAAGAGUUGAAAGACUUGUGGAUCACCAUUGGCAGCUCUGUACGGCUGAAUUCUUCCAGGUCAAAGAGCAAUCAGAUACGCAGCCCUGUCAUCAGGUACUUCCAGCGUUCUAUAGCCAAUGUACUCUACUCCCAAGAGAUCACAGGGACUGUUACUAACUCUAAUAUGGAGAUGAUCGCAAUGGCCCUAAAGGGAACUCUUCGCCAAACUAAGAAUGGUAUGUCUCUCCAAGGUGAAAUCAAUGACACACCUCUCUCUAUACUUCUUCUGAUCCAUCUGUGUGGAUACAAGAGCUGGGCUGUCAGCAAUAACCACAAGAGAGCACGAGGCGCUCUGUGCAUAGGUGGUGUUGUGACACCGAUUCUGAUAGCUUGUGGAGUCCCAAUCAUUUCUGCUGGACUCGAGCCGCGAGCAAUGGAUAUCGAGCACCUACGUCACUGCGAAUUCCUGGAGUUUGCAAUGGUUGACGACUUCCACAGGUUCAGGUUUGAGCACUCUACAGAGAGGAGAGCUAGCAUCCUUCUCCCUAGCCCUGAGGUUACACAGAUAAUAGAGGGAGAUAACAUUGAUUUUUAGCCUGAGGUUGGACGCCUCUACUAUGAGAACGCUCUGCCAUUGGAUGAGGAUGAUCUUUUAGAAGAAGCUGCUUCGGAUGGGAUGGAUGAAGAUAGAGCAGUGGAGUUCGACACUAGCAUGUAUCACUUUGGUGAACAUGUACCUCCAGCGAGGCAGAGCAAGAGCUUGACUGAAGCUUAUAAGAACAACAGUAAAUUGCAGAGGUGGUGCAAGAAGCAGGACAAGCUGCUCGCCAAGUGUUUCAAGGCUAUCAAGCUUCUGACAGAUAAGUUGAGUUGUUCCUCCUCCACCACUGCUAUUCCACAGGGACAGCCUCCUCUGGAGAUGCCAUCGAGGAGAUUUGAUGAGCCUGCGCACAGGUCUGAGCUUAGCGAGCAGAGAGUCUCACAUGUCCCGGCUAGGCAUUCGUCAUUCGAGUCCCGGUAGCACAAGAGAAGAAGGAAGGCUACACUCACUCGAUCUAGCAGCAGAUCACGCCUCAUUCACUCGACCGCGGUGCUGGCCGCAGCAGAAGGAGAGAGGUCGAGUAUCCUCAAAGCGGUGCUGGCCGCAACAGAGGUGAUGAGGUCAAGUACCCACCUGCUGGAGCUGAUACAGAACAAGGUGGUUCGUCUAUGGCCUGAGAGCAAUCACAGGCAGCCAUUGACGAACAACUACGUUCAUUCUUCGACCGAGGUAAGCGCCUCACUUCACCAUUGUAUUAUAUCAUUUGUUGUGAUUUG